Pteropus alecto (black flying fox) is the source of this 74-nucleotide non-coding RNA. The record is from Rfam. Lineage: Eukaryota; Metazoa; Chordata; Mammalia; Chiroptera; Pteropodidae.
GGUUCCAUAGUGUAGUGGUUAGCAUGUCUGCUUUACACGCAGAAGGGCCUGGGUUCAUGUCCCAGGUGGAGCCA